AUUGAACGCUGGCGGCAGGCCUAACACAUGCAAGUCGAGCGGAUGAAGGGAGCUUGCUCCUGGAUUCAGCGGCGGACGGGUGAGUAAUGCCUAGGAAUCUGCCUGGUAGUGGGGGAUAACGUCCGGAAACGGGCGCUAAUACCGCAUACGUCCUGAGGGAGAAAGUGGGGGAUCUUCGGACCUCACGCUAUCAGAUGAGCCUAGGUCGGAUUAGCUAGUUGGUGGGGUAAAGGCCUACCAAGGCGACGAUCCGUAACUGGUCUGAGAGGAUGAUCAGUCACACUGGAACUGAGACACGGUCCAGACGCCUACGGGAGGCAGCAGUGGGGAAUAUUGGACAAUGGGCGAAAGCCUGAUCCAGCCAUGCCGCGUGUGUGAAGAAGGUCUUCGGAUCGUAAAGCACUUUAAGUUGGGAGGAAGGGCAGUAAGUUAAUACCUUGCUGUUUUGACGUUACCAACAGAAUAAGCACCGGCUAACUUCGUG
This 484-nucleotide ribosomal RNA is filed under the name uncultured bacterium. RNAcentral describes it as "partial 16S ribosomal RNA". It matches the Rfam family "Bacterial small subunit ribosomal RNA", at positions 30 to 507 of the family's 1533-position model. The record is from RNAcentral.